Molecule: ribosomal RNA, 704 nt
Filed under: Salmonella enterica subsp. enterica serovar Infantis
Lineage: Bacteria; Pseudomonadati; Pseudomonadota; Gammaproteobacteria; Enterobacterales; Enterobacteriaceae
Description: partial 23S ribosomal RNA
Rfam family: Bacterial large subunit ribosomal RNA
Source: RNAcentral
AUAGUGAACCAGUACCGUGAGGGAAAGGCGAAAAGAACCCCGGCGAGGGGAGUGAAAAAGAACCUGAAACCGUGUACGUACAAGCAGUGGGAGCACAGGUUUACCUGUGUGACUGCGUACCUUUUGUAUAAUGGGUCAGCGACUUAUAUUCUGUAGCAAGGUUAACCGUAUAGGGGAGCCGGAGGGAAACCGAGUCUUAACCGGGCGUUAAGUUGCAGGGUAUAGACCCGAAACCCGGUGAUCUAGCCAUGGGCAGGUUGAAGGUUGGGUAACACUAACUGGAGGACCGAACCGACUAAUGUUGAAAAAUUAGCGGAUGACCUGUGGCUGGGGGUGAAAGGCCAAUCAAACCGGGAGAUAGCUGGUUCUCCCCGAAAGCUAUUUAGGUAGCGCCUCGUGAAUUCAUCUCCGGGGGUAGAGCACUGUUUCGGCUAGGGGGCCAUCCCGGCUUACCAACCCGAUGCAAACUGCGAAUACCGGAGAAUGUUAUCACGGGAGACACACGGCGGGUGCUAACGUCCGUCGUGAAGAGGGAAACAACCCAGACCGCCAGCUAAGGUCCCAAAGUCAUGGUUAAGUGGGAAACGAUGUGGGAAGGCCCAGACAGCCAGGAUGUUGGCUUAGAAGCAGCCAUCAUUUAAAGAAAGCGUAAUAGCUCACUGGUCGAGUCGGCCUGCGCGGAAGAUGUAACGGGGCUAAACCAU